GCCGGAGUGGCGGAAUUGGCAGACGCUGGGGACUUAAAAUCCCUUUUCCUUCGGGAAGUGCGGGUUCGAGUCCCGCCUCCGGCA
This 84-nucleotide transfer RNA is filed under the name Planctomycetota bacterium. RNAcentral describes it as "Planctomycetes bacterium tRNA-Leu". It matches the Rfam family "tRNA". Rfam says of the family: Transfer RNA (tRNA) molecules are approximately 80 nucleotides in length. Their secondary structure includes four short double-helical elements and three loops (D, anti-codon, and T loops). Lineage: Bacteria; Pseudomonadati; Planctomycetota. The record is from RNAcentral.